GACGAACGCUGGCGGCGUGCUUAACACAUGCAAGUCGAACGGAAAGGCCCUGCUUUUGUGGGGUGCUCGAGUGGCGAACGGGUGAGUAACACGUGAGUAACCUGCCCUUGACUUUGGGAUAACUUCAGGAAACUGGGGCUGAUACCGGAUAGGAGCUCCUGCUGCAUGGUGGGGGUUGGAAAGUUUCGGCGGUUGGGGAUGGACUCGCGGCUUAUCAGCUUGUUGGUGGGGUAGUGGCUUACCAGGGCUUUGACGGGUAGCCGGCCUGAGAGGGUGACCGGCCACAUUGGGACUGAGAUACGGCCCAGACUCCUACGGGAGGCAGCAGUGGGGAAUAUUGCACAAUGGGCGGAAGCCUGAUGCAGCAACGCCGCGUGCGGGAUGACGGCCUUCGGGUUGUAAACCGCUUUCGCCUGUGACGAAGCGUGAGUGACGGUAAUGGGUAAAGAAGCACCGGCUAACUACGUG
Molecule: ribosomal RNA, 468 nt
Filed under: uncultured bacterium
Lineage: Bacteria
Description: partial 16S ribosomal RNA
Rfam family: Bacterial small subunit ribosomal RNA
Source: RNAcentral